This is a long non-coding RNA of Anastrepha ludens (Mexican fruit fly), 575 nucleotides long. RefSeq lists it as uncharacterized. The record is from RefSeq and is a predicted model, not a curated record. NCBI's taxonomy places the organism in Eukaryota, Metazoa, Arthropoda, Insecta, Diptera, Tephritidae. The transcript is spliced from 2 exons.
AUUUGAGGUUAGAAUUUUCGAUUUUUUACAUGAACAUCCAUGCAACCAUCUAAGGGUAGGCACAUACAUAAAGACAUUUGUAUUGAAACACAUUAUUUGAGCACCACAUGAAAUUGUGUCAUAAAUCGUUUCUGCACCCUAACCCAAUCAAUCAAUUUAAUCCGCCCCAACAAGGCAGUGCAUCGAUUUGAUUGGCUUCGAUUUAUGUGCGCUUCAGGAAUCGGGCAAAAGCAAUAAAAAUCAAUGUGAAUCGACAAGUCUUACCACUCAUACAAGCAUCCCUGCCCACCCGAAUGCACCUAACACCCUAGCAACAAAUACAACACCUAUGAUAUUAUUAACAUGCAGAAUAAGAACAACAGUUCGAACACCGUUCUCACUCGUGUCUAGUGGUAAGGCGAUUGGCAACAACAGCAAUCGCACACGCACGCACAUAUGUAUAUGCACUGGCAGUGGUGAGAAAAAUGCAAUCUUUCUCCGUUACACAAAAGUAAACAAAACAUUGCACGAUUUUCUUUCGUUAGGAAAAUAAAGAAAAAAUAAAAAAUAAAAAGGCAAAAAGCAAAAUUGUUAGA